AACGUGGCUCAGCUGGUAGAGCAACGCACUCGUAAUGCGUAGGUCAGCGGUUCGAAUCCGCUCGUU
This 66-nucleotide transfer RNA is filed under the name Eggerthella lenta. It matches the Rfam family "tRNA". Rfam says of the family: Transfer RNA (tRNA) molecules are approximately 80 nucleotides in length. RNAcentral also lists the same sequence under 22 other names. Lineage: Bacteria; Bacillati; Actinomycetota; Coriobacteriia; Eggerthellales; Eggerthellaceae. The record is from RNAcentral.